UGCAAAUGACGAGAGCCUACCCAGCC
This 26-nucleotide non-coding RNA is filed under the name Rattus norvegicus (Norway rat). The record is from RNAcentral. Lineage: Eukaryota; Metazoa; Chordata; Mammalia; Rodentia; Muridae.